Molecule: long non-coding RNA, 487 nt
Organism: Lathyrus oleraceus (garden pea)
Lineage: Eukaryota; Viridiplantae; Streptophyta; Magnoliopsida; Fabales; Fabaceae
Exons: 2
Source: RefSeq, a predicted model, not a curated record
CAUCAAAACGAGCCCAAAACGGAUUUGAAUAUCCAACAGCUCAGCACAAAGCGCAGCUUCAUCCGCAUUCCAAUGGCUUCACGUCUUCUUUCUCGGAUACACAUUUUGAAACGAAAAGACGAUGAAGCAUUUGGCUCCGAAAUCAAUUUCCAUCUCCGAAAUUGAAUGACUAAAAUUCAAUCUCAAUUCUUGGCGUGCACAAAAUCGAAAUGAAGUGGAAUCAGAUUUGAAGCAAGAACUCACUGAAUCGGAAUUUCGGUUUGAACAAGUAAAUGCAUUUGGGAGGUGCUAGGAACUGCUUGAAAUUUGUUUCAAAUGGAAUGGAUUUGUAAUGGAACUUAAAUUGACUUGAUUGAAAUUGUAAUUUUGUCGUAACCUUCAAUUGAAAACAUUGGUUUGUGGUUGAAAUGGUUGAAUAUGAAUGUUGGUUUGAAUAUUGUAAUUUGUGAAUGGAAAUGUGAAAUUAAAUGAAAUAAUUUGAAUCGAA